GGAAUGUAGCUCAGUUGGUAGAGUGCCUGCCUCACGUGUACAAGGCUCUGGGUUGAAUACCCAGCACCA
RNAcentral lists this transfer RNA (69 nucleotides) under Marmota monax (woodchuck). RNAcentral's name for it is "tRNA.Val". The stretch from base 5 to 66 matches the Rfam family "tRNA", at positions 6 to 65 of the family's 71-position model. From Rfam's summary of the family: Transfer RNA (tRNA) molecules are approximately 80 nucleotides in length. Their secondary structure includes four short double-helical elements and three loops (D, anti-codon, and T loops). Lineage: Eukaryota; Metazoa; Chordata; Mammalia; Rodentia; Sciuridae. The record is from RNAcentral.